UCCGGGGUGGUGUAACCGGUAACACAGGAGACUUUGAAUCUCCUAUUCUAGGUUCGAGCCCUAGCCCCGGAG
Molecule: transfer RNA, 72 nt
Filed under: Elusimicrobiota bacterium
Lineage: Bacteria; Pseudomonadati; Elusimicrobiota
Description: Elusimicrobia bacterium (groundwater metagenome) tRNA-Gln
Rfam family: tRNA
About the family: Transfer RNA (tRNA) molecules are approximately 80 nucleotides in length. Their secondary structure includes four short double-helical elements and three loops (D, anti-codon, and T loops).
Source: RNAcentral